GACGAACGCUGGCGGCGUGCUUAACACAUGCAAGUCGAACGGAAAGGCCCUGCUUGCAGGGUGCUCGAGUGGCGAACGGGUGAGUAACACGUGGGUGAUCUGCCCCUUACUUUGGGAUAAGCCUGGGAAACUGGGUCUAAUACUGGAUAGGACCAUGCUGUAGGUGGUGUGGUGGAAAGUUUUUUUCGGUAAGGGAUUAGCUCGCGGCCUAUCAGCUUGUUGGUGGGGUAAUGGCCUACCAAGGCGUCGACGGGUAGCCGGCCUGAGAGGGUGGACGGCCACAGGGGGACUGAGAUACGGCCGAGACACCUACGGGAGGAAGCAGUGGGGAAUAAGGGAAGAAGGGCGCAAGCCUGAUGCAGCGACGCAGCGGGGGGGAUGACGGCCUUCGGGUUGUAAGCUCCUUGCAGCGAUGACGAAGCCUCUUUUGGGGUGACGGUAGUGGUAGAAGAAGCACCGGCUAACUACGUG
This 471-nucleotide ribosomal RNA is filed under the name uncultured bacterium. Its description in RNAcentral is "partial 16S ribosomal RNA". It matches the Rfam family "Bacterial small subunit ribosomal RNA", at positions 28 to 507 of the family's 1533-position model. The record is from RNAcentral.